Molecule: long non-coding RNA, 151 nt
Organism: Oncorhynchus keta (chum salmon)
Lineage: Eukaryota; Metazoa; Chordata; Actinopteri; Salmoniformes; Salmonidae
Exons: 3
Source: RefSeq, a predicted model, not a curated record
GUCAUCAACAGCAGUAGGUCAUCAACAGCAGUAGGUCAUCAACAGCAGUAGGUCACCAACAACAACAGUAGGUCAUCAACAACAGUAGGUCAUCAACAACAGUAGGUCAUCAACAGCAGUAGGUCAUCAACAACAGUAGGUCAUCAACAAC